UACGUAGGGGGCAAGCGUUGUCCGGAUUCAUUGGGCGUAAAGAGCGGGUAGGCGGCCAGGUAGGUCGGUUGUGAAAACUGGAGGCUCAACCUUCAGAGGUCGACCGAAACCAUCUGGCUAGAGUCCGGGAGAGGAGAGUGGAAUUCCUGGUGUAGCGGUGAAAUGCGUAGAGAUCGGGAGGAACAUCCGUGGCGAAGGCGACUACCUGGACCAGCACUGACACUGAGGCACGAAAGCGUGGGGAGCAAACAGG
This 253-nucleotide ribosomal RNA is filed under the name uncultured bacterium. Its description in RNAcentral is "partial 16S ribosomal RNA". It matches the Rfam family "Bacterial small subunit ribosomal RNA", at positions 524 to 776 of the family's 1533-position model. The record is from RNAcentral.